Molecule: ribosomal RNA, 510 nt
Filed under: Cutaneotrichosporon moniliiforme
Lineage: Eukaryota; Fungi; Basidiomycota; Tremellomycetes; Trichosporonales; Trichosporonaceae
Description: eukaryotic LSU rRNA
Rfam family: 5.8S ribosomal RNA (bases 76-228)
Source: RNAcentral
UCUAUACGCGGAGGAGCCGUAGGUCAACCAGCNGAGNAACACCGGGGAAGGAAAGGAUGGGAGGAUAACAAAANNAANNNACAACAACGGAUCUCUUGGCUCUCGCAUCGAUGAAAAACGCAACGUAAUGCGAUAAGUAAUGUGAAUUGCCGAAUUCUUCGAAUCAUCAUGUCUUUGAACGCGCUUGCGCUCUCUGGUAUUCCGGAGAGCAUGCCUGUUUGACUAUCUUGAAAUCUCAACCAUUAGGGUUUCUUAAUGGCUGGGAAUUGGGUGUUGCCAGUCGCCUGGCUCGCCUUAAAAGAGUUAGCGUGUUUAACUUGUCUAUCUGGCGUAAUAAGUUUCGCUGGUGUCGGCUUGAGAAGUACGCUUCUAAUCGUCCUCGGACAAUUCUUGAACUCUGGUCUCAAAUCGGGUAGGGCUACCCGCUGAACUUAAGCAUAUCAAUAANCGGAGGAACCCCCUAUCAUGAANGGAUUCCAUCUGAACAUGAACAUAUCAAUAANCGGAAGA